RNAcentral lists this ribosomal RNA (492 nucleotides) under uncultured bacterium. RNAcentral's name for it is "partial 16S ribosomal RNA". It matches the Rfam family "Bacterial small subunit ribosomal RNA", at positions 29 to 507 of the family's 1533-position model. The record is from RNAcentral.
AGUGAACGCUGGCGGUAGACCUAACACAUGCAAGUCGAACGGCAGCACAGUAAGAGCUUGCUCUUACGGGUGGCGAGUGGCGGACGGGAGAGGAAUACAUCGGAAUCUACUUUUUCGUGGGGGAUAACGUAGGGAAACUUACGCUAAUACCGCAUACGACCUACGGGUGAAAGCAGGGGAUCUUCGGACCUUGCGCGAUUGAAUGCGCCGAUGUCGGAUUAGCUAGUUGGCGGGGUAAAGGCCCACCAAGGCGACGAUCCGUAGCUGGUCUGAGAGGAUGAUCAGCCACACUGGAACGGGGACACGGUCCAGACGCCUACGGGAGGCAGCAGUGGGGAAUAUUGGACAAUGGGCGCAAACCUGAUCCAGCCAUACCGCGUGGGUGAAGAAGGCCUUCGGGGUGUAAAGCCCUUUUGUUGGGAAAGAAAAGCAGCAGGUUAAUACCCCGCUGUUCUGACGGUACCCAAAGAAUAAGCACCGGCUAACUUCGUG